CCUACGGGAGGCUGCAGUGGGGAAUAUUGCACAAUGGGGGAAACCCUGAUGCAGCGCCGCCGCGUGAGUGAAGAAGUAUCUCGGUACGUAAAGCUCUAUCAGCAGGGAAGAAAAUGACGGUACCUGAAUAAGAAGCCCCGGCUAUCUACGUGCCAGCAGCCGAGGUAAAACGUAGGGGGCAAGCGUUAUCCGGAUUUACUGGGGGUAACGGGGACGUAGAUGGUAGCGCAAGUCUGGUGUGAAAUCCCGGGGCUUAACCCCGGAACGGCUUUGGAAACUGGGCGGCUGGAGUGCAGGAGGGGUAAGUGGAAUUCCAGGUGUAGCGGUGAAAUGCGUAGAUAUAAGGAAGAACACCAGUGGCGAAGGCGGCUUACUGGACUGUAACUGACGUUGAGGCUCGAAAGCGUGGGGAGCAAACAGGAUUAGAUACCCCGGUAGUC
Molecule: ribosomal RNA, 440 nt
Filed under: uncultured bacterium
Lineage: Bacteria
Description: partial 16S ribosomal RNA
Rfam family: Bacterial small subunit ribosomal RNA
Source: RNAcentral